GACGAACGCUGGCGGCGUGCUUAACACAUGCAAGUCGAACGGAAAGGCCCCUUUGGGGGUCCUCGAGUGGCGUACGGGUGAGUAACACGUGAUUAACCUGCCCUUGACUUCGGGAUAACUUCAGGAAACUGGGGCUAAUACCGGAUAGGAAUCCUUGCUGCAUGGUGGGGGUUGGAAAGCUUCGGCGGUUUUGGAUUGACUCGGGGCGUAUCAGCUUGGUGGUGGGGUAGUGGCUUACCAAGGCUUUGUCGGGUAGCCGGCCUGAGUGGGCGACCGGCCACAUUGGGACUGAGAUUCGGCCCAGACGCCGACGGGAGGCAGCGGUGGGGGAUGUUGCACUAUGGGAGGCAGCCUGAGGCAGCAACGCCGCGUGCGUGAUGAGGGCCUUCGGGUUGUAAACGGCUUACAGCAGGGGCGAAGCUUGUGGUGACGGUACCUGGAGAAGAAGCACCGGCUAACUACGUG
RNAcentral lists this ribosomal RNA (465 nucleotides) under uncultured bacterium. Its description in RNAcentral is "partial 16S ribosomal RNA". It matches the Rfam family "Bacterial small subunit ribosomal RNA", at positions 28 to 507 of the family's 1533-position model. The record is from RNAcentral.